GCGGGCAUAAUUCAGUGGUAGAAUGACAGCCUUCCAAGCUGUAUAUGCGGGUUCGAUUCCCGCUGCCCGCUCCA
Molecule: transfer RNA, 74 nt
Filed under: Elusimicrobia bacterium RIFCSPLOWO2_01_FULL_54_10
Lineage: Bacteria; Pseudomonadati; Elusimicrobiota
Also listed under: 1 other name
Description: tRNA-Gly
Rfam family: tRNA
About the family: Transfer RNA (tRNA) molecules are approximately 80 nucleotides in length. Their secondary structure includes four short double-helical elements and three loops (D, anti-codon, and T loops).
Source: RNAcentral